UAACUUACCUGGCACACGGGGAUACUAUGAUCAAGAAGGCAGUUCCCUCAGGUAGAGACUUGUGCAUUGCACUCAGCCAAGUUGCAUCCUGCAAUUUCCCCAAACGUGGGAAAUUCGGGUGCACAAUUUUUGUUAGUGUGGGGGACUGCGUUUGCGCAUCCCCUUU
Molecule: small nuclear RNA, 166 nt
Organism: Halichondria panicea
Lineage: Eukaryota; Metazoa; Porifera; Demospongiae; Suberitida; Halichondriidae
Product: U1 spliceosomal RNA
Exons: 1
Source: RefSeq, a predicted model, not a curated record